Ictalurus punctatus (channel catfish) is the source of this 618-nucleotide long non-coding RNA. RefSeq lists it as uncharacterized. The transcript is spliced from 3 exons. The record is from RefSeq and is a predicted model, not a curated record. NCBI's taxonomy places the organism in Eukaryota, Metazoa, Chordata, Actinopteri, Siluriformes, Ictaluridae.
GUCUCUCCAGUACGGAGCAUACUGUUAAUCUCCUGCAGUCUCUGAGAGAAAAUAUGAGCAGGAUUAACUUUCAGCAGGCAAAAGAUGUUUACUCUCUCGCACCUUAGCCAUAACAUAGAUGGCACACAUGAGCAGUUGGUCGAGGUGGCGAUUCAUCAUGAGCUCAGUGCAGUGCACCAGCGAGUACUCGAAGCAGGUCCAGGUCUUCCUGCGCAGAUCUGUGCUGAUGUCCAGCUUCACACACAGGUCUCGGAGACGCACGCUGGCCAAGUGAUACACCUGACACGCAGGACAGGAGGAACAGGCGGAAUCACUGCUGGAACAAUGCUGUUACUGAGGAAACUGAGUGUCGCAGGAAUACAGAAGAAAAUAUACACUGGAAUCCAUUUUUUUUUCUUCAGAUUUGGUACAAAAAAAAAAAAUAAUAAAAAAAAUAAACCUCAAACAGAACUGAAUAGUAUUUACACCACAAUCAAGCUGAUAUCAGAAAUGUGAUGUUUAAACAAGACUGAUGUAAGUGUGUGUAACUUGCAGAGGUUUAAACCUCAGUUUGUGUUGUUUAGUGAGUAAUUAGGUUAUAUAUUACCAGUGGAUUCUUUAUACAGCAUUAACGUCCUU